GCCUGGGUGGCUCAGUCAGUUGAGUGUCUGACUUCAGCUCAGGUCAUGAUCUCACGGUUUGUGGGUUCGAGCCCCGCAUCAGGCU
This 85-nucleotide transfer RNA is filed under the name Felis catus (domestic cat). It matches the Rfam family "tRNA". Rfam says of the family: Transfer RNA (tRNA) molecules are approximately 80 nucleotides in length. Their secondary structure includes four short double-helical elements and three loops (D, anti-codon, and T loops). Lineage: Eukaryota; Metazoa; Chordata; Mammalia; Carnivora; Felidae. The record is from Rfam by way of RNAcentral.